This 261-nucleotide long non-coding RNA is filed under the name Lathyrus oleraceus (garden pea). Its description in RNAcentral is "Pisum sativum (pea) long non-coding RNA (PSAT_LNC029762)". The record is from RNAcentral. Lineage: Eukaryota; Viridiplantae; Streptophyta; Magnoliopsida; Fabales; Fabaceae.
AUUUGUACUUUUUUAUCAUCAUAAGUGUAGUUACAUAGGGUUGUUGUUGUUCUUCGACCUUGAUGAUUGUUAUAGUUUUUCUUAGUUGUCGUGUAUUAUUUUUUUUAUAUUUUUUACUAGUAUAAAGUUUGUUUUAUCUACUUCCUAUAUCUAGGCAUGCCUUGUGAUAUGAUAUACGACAUUACUAAUAUUUAUUGAUUUAAAAAAAAAUCUAGCCAUAAAUUAGAAACAAAGUCCACCACCUCAAUAUUAUAAUUUAUU